AUUAGUCUCACGAAUCACGUAAUGUGACAGGACCAAACUGCUUUAAGAUCCGUAAAUGGCCAACGAUAUACUCGAUGGUUCGUACUGAUCUUAUCUGGGCCGCCCGGUCGCAGUUGACACUUUUCUCUCCCGUCACCGACGACCACGCAUCGGGCGGAGGCGAUGGAGAGCACCGUGGAGGCACUGAGCGCUGCCUAUGACGAGUUCGUAGCUGCGGCGGCGGCCGCCCUGGAGGCAAAGGAGCAGUCCGGCGGGCAGAAGACGCCCGUCACCGACGCCGCGCUCGAGGCCUUCAAGCAGCGGUGGGAACUCUUCCGCGUCGCCUGCGACCAGGCCGAGGAGUUCGUUGAGUCUAUGAAGCAGCGCAUCGGCUCCGAGUGCUUAGUCGACGAGGCAACCGGCGCCGCACCCUCCAAGGCUGGCCGCCCUGCCACGGCACCCGGGAUCCCGCCCAUCAGCGCCGUCCGGCUCGAGCAGAUGAGCAAGGCCGUCAGGUGGCUCGUCAUCGAGCUCCAGAACGGGUCCGGGGUUGGCGCAGCCGCCGCCGCUGCGGCCCAUCCCCAUGUUUCCGCGCCCUUUGACGCCCGGUUCUCCGACGACGCCGGGCAAUAGGUGAGAGGAAGAGGCAAAAUGGUGUUCUUGGAGACAGGACAGCAUCUGCAUUCAGUAUCGCACGACAUUUCUUUAUAUUCAAAAAGCAGGAGAUGAGGUUGUCCCGAACAUGUGUCGCGACUUUUCACCGCUGUAGCCGUAAUUAUUAAGAUUAAGUUCGGAGAAUGGUUCAUCAUAGUCAAGAAAUUUGUGAUAACACUCUGGCAUGGCCAUCUUUCCUUACCCUGUGUUAAGUAUUUCUUUCCUCUCCUGUUGUAGUUUGAGACCCAUAAUGAAAUUAUACCCUGUUCUGCUACUGAUGUGCACCUACUUUGUCUCAAUUGACUCUGCCUUUGUCAUCUGAACACAC
Molecule: RNA transcript, 961 nt
Organism: Musa acuminata subsp. malaccensis (wild Malaysian banana)
Lineage: Eukaryota; Viridiplantae; Streptophyta; Magnoliopsida; Zingiberales; Musaceae
Gene name: mediator of RNA polymerase II transcription subunit 32
Source: RefSeq, a predicted model, not a curated record